Molecule: long non-coding RNA, 206 nt
Organism: Myotis daubentonii (Daubenton's bat)
Lineage: Eukaryota; Metazoa; Chordata; Mammalia; Chiroptera; Vespertilionidae
Source: RefSeq, a predicted model, not a curated record
GGCGUGGCUCAGGGGUUGAGCCUCGACCUAGGAACCAGGAGGUCACGGUUCGAUUCCCGGUCGGGGCACAGGCCCGGGUUGUGGGCUCCAUCCCCAGUGGGGCGUGCAGGAGGCAGCCCAUCCAUGAUUCUCUCUCAUCAUGGAUAUUUCUCUCUCUCUCUCCCUCUCCCUUCCUCUCUGACAUCAACAGAAAAUAUAUGUAUAUU